CAGUGAAAGUACACAGUGAGAAGGCAAAUGGUAGAUGGAGAGCAUGGAGUACUGAGAGGAAAAAAAAAAAAAAAAAAGAGUAGAAUCUGGCCCACGUCCUUUAAUUUCUGUGUUGUCUCUAGUUUGUAAAGAUUUUAUGGAUAGAAGUGAAGGUUAGAGGGUAAAUACUUACAGUGUUUCCUGUGAAGGAAAAAUACUCUAAUCUGUGUGAAUUCUCGCUGAAUGCAGUGCGUUUAAGACAUUGGGGAGGUGACUACUGUCCACUGUCCCGGGGUGGUGAGACAGAAAAGGACUGCACAAUUUUCUUUUUUCUUUCCUUUUAAAAAUGCUUUUGUUCACCCAAAUUACAACAGAAAAAUAUAGAAGUCCUCUUUACAAAAGCACCAUCACCAUUGGAAAUUCUAGAGACCACAUAGCAGGUUUUUAAACAGGAACAAAAGGGAUUCUGACCAAUUACUGUAUAUGAACAGUUUCUUAUACAAUUUUUAACUUCAUGAUUAAAAGGAGAAACAAGCUGACAUACUGUAACCAAUUUUAAGGCAGAUUAUGUUAUUCUAAUCUGCUUUAACAAUCACUGAUCAUCUACACUGGUGAUUAUUGAAUCAAUACUGAUGUCGCUUCAAUAAUCACGUCUGUCUUUUGGAGAGGAGCAUCUGGAGGACUUUAAUUUUUGAUUUUAAGGUCUUUCUCACUGAACGCAGCAGGCUGUUGCACGGUCAAGUUACAUUCAGAAAAUUAAAUAAGCAAAAAUAAAUUUAAAGUUAAACUUUUUUUUUUUCUUUUAAACUUUCAAAACAAAUCAUAGUAAAAAGAAAGUACAUCCCCCACAAUUUUAGGUUUCACGUAUCAGGACAUGAUAAUAAAAUUCUUAGUGGUUUCUUAAAUUAUUUAACUUCAACUUCAGAUAAACAACAACAUGACAUAUUUAUUACACAAAUUAUUUAUCUAAUAAAAACAAAAGCAAAUGCAGAAGCAGUGUGUGAGCAUCUACGUAUGAUUCAGCCGAUUGAAGAAUAACCUUUAGCAGCAAGAACAUUUUACUGUUGAGUUUACCAGUGGUCACUGUGGAGGAAGUCUGACCCACUGACACAAUGCUGAAGUAACACAUUCGAGUCUAGAAUAGGCUGAUAUACAGAGGAGUUUGUAGUUCUGUGGCUGUAAAAUGAGCCCAAAUCAUCACACCUCCACCGCCGUACUUGACGGUUAAUGUGAGGCGUUUGUGCUGAUGUGUUUGGCUUUUGUGAAAUGUGAUUGUGCAUCACGGACAAACAUCUCUACUUUGGUCUCGCCUGUCCAAAGGACAUUGUUCCAGAAGUCUUUUGGUUUGUCCAGAUCCACCUUGGCAAAGCCGAGCCAUGCAGGCUUUCUCCUGGCAACCUUUCCAAACAAGCCUUACCUGUUCAGUCUUUUUCUAACUGUAAUGCCAUGACCUUUAACAUUUAACAACCAACUGAAGCCUGCCAAGUCUGAUACGCAGCUCUUUUUGUUGCGGUUUCUCUGAGCGUUGCGUAAUCUGACCAUUGUUGGGACAUCCACUCCUGAGAAGACUGGCAACUGUCUUGAAUAUUUUCCACGUGUGAAUAAUUCUCACUGUACAAUGAAGACCUUAUAUAACCUUAUAAUCCCUUCCAGAUCGAUGGCCAGAAACAGCGGCUUCUCUAAGAUCAUUGUGGUUGUCUUUGUUAAAUAAACACUCACUCAUAGGUGCUCAAACAUGGUGUUGAUCAAUUAAUCAAGUGCAUUUGCUAUUACUUCACCUGGAAUUUCCAAAGGAAACAGUCAGGGACUACUUAGCUUUUUCCCCCACACACUACUUCUGCAUUUGACGUUUUUAAAAAAAAAACAAAACAAAAAACAGUGACAUGAUGUAAUAUGUCAUGUGUUGUUGUUGUUGUUCAUCUGACGUUGUAUUUAACUAAUUUUAAGACCGGUUGAUUUUUUAUCAUUUUCUGACACAUAAAUGUAAGAAUGUACACAGAAAUCUCUUAUUGUGCAGCUGCAUCAAAACACAGCCUGGUUAAAGUCUGGCCGUGUACUUUGUUUCAUGCAGUCCCCCAUGCUGUCUCCACGCACAUUUACAGUCAGUCUGUCAUUUGCCCCGUCAAAAAAAGCAAAAGAAAAUAUAUAAAUAAUUGCAAUUUGGGUGAACUGACCUUUAGAUUUUAAUUUAUUUAAAGAUAAGACGGUCCAAUUAACUGGAAAACCUGCAUCUAAGUAAGGAAAACUCCUGAUUUCACUCGGAUGAAAUCCAAGAGUCCCAUCUUUGUGAUUUUUCUCCCACCAAAAUCACCAGAGCCACCGAAAGGAUAAAGAAAUCCCACCCAGCAAAGACCUGAUCCACCGGAGGCGGAGUUAUUAUCAGAAGCAGGUGCUGGGUUGCUGAGGGAGUGGGCAUGGACCGGAGGGCCAGAGAUGGGAUGCUGAGCCGCAGCUGACUGAAGCUGUGCCAGGCGAGGGUCAUGCCAAGUGGUUGUCUUAUCCAGGCAGCUGUCAAGCAAAAGUGCAGCAAAUGUGACUGUAAAUUAAUCACUUGAACAAUCAGUGUGAUCAAACUCUUAUAAGAUGCCACCUUGAGAUUUGGAAAAUUGUGAAAACCACUUGUUGCAACACAGGAUGAGUGCCAAUGCACAACAGAGAGGACUGGAACAAGACGAACGGGGCUCCUCCUACACAGGAACCUUUCUAAUAACUGCAGAGCAUGAGAGAUGGAACACAGAUAAACUGGAGGUUAA
Long non-coding RNA from Oreochromis niloticus (Nile tilapia), 2732 nucleotides. RefSeq lists it as uncharacterized. The record is from RefSeq and is a predicted model, not a curated record. NCBI's taxonomy places the organism in Eukaryota, Metazoa, Chordata, Actinopteri, Cichliformes, Cichlidae. The transcript has 3 exons.